GGGGGUAUAGCUCAGAUGGGAGAGCACCUGCCUUGCAAGCAGGGGGUCGUGAGUUCGAAUCUCACUAUCUCCA
RNAcentral lists this transfer RNA (73 nucleotides) under Anaerocolumna sp. AGMB13025. RNAcentral's name for it is "tRNA-Ala". It matches the Rfam family "tRNA". From Rfam's summary of the family: Transfer RNA (tRNA) molecules are approximately 80 nucleotides in length. Their secondary structure includes four short double-helical elements and three loops (D, anti-codon, and T loops). The record is from RNAcentral. Lineage: Bacteria; Bacillati; Bacillota; Clostridia; Lachnospirales; Lachnospiraceae.